This 800-nucleotide ribosomal RNA is filed under the name uncultured bacterium. RNAcentral's name for it is "bacterial SSU rRNA". It matches the Rfam family "Bacterial small subunit ribosomal RNA", at positions 42 to 832 of the family's 1533-position model. The record is from RNAcentral.
GCAGGCUUACACAUGCAAGUCGAGCGGUAGCACAGAGGAGCUUGCUCCCUGGGUGACGAGCGGCGGACGGGUGGGUAAUGUCUGGGAAACUGCCUGAUGGAGGGGGAUAACUACUGGAAACGGUAGCUAAUAUCGCAUAACGUCGCAAGACCAAAGAGGGGGACCUUCGGGCCUCUUGCCAUCAGAUGUGCCCAGAUGGGACUAGCUAGUAGGUGGGGUAAUGGCUCACCUAGGCGACGAUCCCUAGCUGGUCUGAGAGGAUGACCAGCCACACUGGAACUGGGACACGGUCCAGACUCCUACGGGAGGCAGCAGUGGGGAAUAUUGCACAAUAGGCGCAAGCCUGAUGCAGCCAUGCCGCGUGUGUGAAGAAGGCCUUCGGGUCGUAAAGCACUUUCAGCGAGGAGGAAGGUGGUGAGCUUAAUACGCUCAUCAAUUGACGUUACUCGCAGAAGAAGCACCGGCUAACUUCGUGCCAGCAGCCGCGGUAAUACGGAGGGUGCAGGCGUUAAUCGGAAUUACUGGGCGUAAAGCGCACGCAGGCGGUUUGUUAAGUCAGAUGUGAAAUCCCCAGGCUCAACCUGGGAACUGCAUUUGAAACUGGCAAGCUAGAGUCUCGUAGAGGGGGGUAGAAUUUCAGGUGUAGCGGUGAAAUGCGUAGAGAUCUGGAGGAAUACCGGUGGCGAAGGCGGUCCCCUGGACGAAGACUGACGCUCAGGUGCGAAAGCGUGGGGAGCAAACAGGAUUAGAUACCCUAGUAGUCCACGCUGUAAACGAUGUCGAUUUGACGGGUUGUGCCC